CCUGUAGGUUGGUGUCAACAUGGUUCAAAGUGUUUCUCUCUCUCCCUCUCCCUCUUGUGUGAGACAAAGUCUCAUUAUAUAACUCUGGCUGCCUUGGAGUUCUGGAGUUUACCAUGGAGAUCAGGCUGGCCAUGAUGUCACAGAAGCUCACUGACUUCUGCCUCCUAAGUGCUAGGAUAAACAUAUGCAUCACCACAUACAGCUCACAACAUGUAGCUGGGAAACAAAAAGAUCUCAAAGAUUUCAAAUAAGAGAUUAUAGAUUUAUGUACAUACUGGUUGAAAGUAUAUACUAAAAUAUCUGAAAACAAAGACAGAAAACAGAUUCAUCAACUUCUGCCACUGUGGUCAACUCUGGCUCGCUCUUGUAGAGUCUAUAAUCUGGACCCUUGAAUGGAAGACACACGAUUGCAACAACAAAUGCUGCCGUCACUGUACCCUGUCCCUCAGCUGGGCCCGAGGCUCAGCACUAGAAGCCUUGUCUGGCACCAGAAAGGUCCUUGGCUCAACUGAAAAUAAGUCUGCCUUUAAAGGUGCAAACCGAAAGCCCCAGCUGGCUCCCUCUCACAUGACGCACUCACACCACGUGGUACUGAGUACGAAGAAUAAUUCCAAGACACAGCCAUGCAAAGCUGACCCACCUGUUUCUGAAGAGCCUCUUUGCUGUUUGUGUUUGCUCAACCCCUCCAUGACAUCUUGAAUUCUCCAAAGUUCUUUUUGAAUCUGUGCCCGUUGAAUUCCUGCCGACUCACUCUAUCAGUAAAGAUGGACAGAUCACUGUG
Non-coding RNA from Rattus norvegicus (Norway rat), 781 nucleotides. The record is from RefSeq and is a predicted model, not a curated record. NCBI's taxonomy places the organism in Eukaryota, Metazoa, Chordata, Mammalia, Rodentia, Muridae.